Molecule: long non-coding RNA, 2108 nt
Organism: Folsomia candida
Lineage: Eukaryota; Metazoa; Arthropoda; Collembola; Entomobryomorpha; Isotomidae
Exons: 3
Source: RefSeq, a predicted model, not a curated record
CUCGCAUUUUUCAGGUCUCGUCUCACCUAACCGAUUGAUCUAAUUUUACGCCUGCAGCAGACAAAACACGCAAAUCUCAAGUUUCUCAAGUUCAUCAUUAUCCUACUUUCCCUAAAAUAUUUUUACUGGAUAGAAGCGAGAUCAGAUUAUCCAGCGUGUCCAUAUCCGCAAGUGAAGUGAAAGUUCUCUCUCUCUCGCUUUCUCUCUCGAAUUGUCCUGUUCUGCAGUCGUACGAGCUGUCUUUUCACGGAAUAAGGCAGAGAUCCGUACGUACGUACUUAUGUGCACACACACUCACGUACACACACUUUCUCCUCUUCUUUCCUGGGUCAACCUUCACUUCCAGUCCAACCAACUCUCUCAGCCUCACUUUCUUUCUCGUCCUUAGUCUCAUCUUCGCCUCCCAAGUGAACUGUCACGUUUUUCACUUCUCCUUUCAUAAAAUUCUCUCCACGAGUCAGUCAUCCAGUGAGGAGGAAAAUAUGCCUCACGACUUUCACUCCAACCUGUAAACAACUCAUUUUAUCGUCACGUACUCCGAACCAGUCUAAUGAUGACGGUUAGUUAGCCGUAAUAAUAGUUUACACGUCCCCGACAUGAAAAUUUUCUCCGUUUGGAAGUAGAUAAAAGACUUUGUGUUUCUAGUUUUUAGAAGUGUUUGCACUGUUAAUUAGGACAUAUUUGUGCUCCUGUGAACUUAAUUGUGGUCGAAUUUCAACUUAAGGUGUGAUUAGAAAGCAAAUAGUGUGGGGAUGCGUGAAAUCGGUAAUUGUUUACACAGAAAUACAUCUAAUCUCCCAGCAUAGAAAGUGUACUCGUCUACUUUCUCUUGUCCUCGCAUUUCGUCAAUCAUCACAGCAGUCGUAUUUUCACCACGUGUAAACAUCUACAACAUCCUGAUCAACUUUGACCUUCUUUUCACCACCACCAACACAAACCACCAACAAUAAUUCGAACAAAUAAUACACUCACCGCAAAAUUUUAUCAAAAUUCAUUCGUGCCCCAAAAUUUCCCUCCGUACUAUUUGAUAACCACAAUGUGCUCUUGAAUGCCAGGAGUUCAGUGGUUGUUCAGCUGAAUCACAAGUUUCUCAAAGAUUUCAUUGGUCCGACCACAAAGCAUUUCUUCAUCUCAAAGAAAAUGAAUUUCAAGUCUUGCGGAACACUUUUCAUGUUUUUCGUCGCAUGUGAAGUUCUCCUACUUUGCUUUUGCUGCUGCGAUGGGGCGAAAAUCCCGACCUCCACCCGCCCACCGAUCACACCCACCGUCGACCCGAAAACCCAACCUGGUCGAGUGACACAAACUUUUACGGGGAACGAAAGCAGUUGGGUACCAGGCGUUUCAGCUGCAGUCAUCGUCAUCAUCGUCUUUCUCAUCUCACUCUUCGCCUGCUGUAUCCAUUGUCCGUUUUGCAUCGUCUACAAGAGGAACGCAAGUCAACGAAUCAUCUAAACUUAAUUAUCAACGAAGGAGAGGAUGGAUGGAAUAAAAUGCAAAUGAAUGUUGUACUUAAACUAGCAAAGUCUGACCAGACCAAGCACAAUGCAAUCUCAUUAACCGGGUUGCAUAAGUUGGUUGCAUUGCAUUUCUUACUGCAUUUCUUGCCAGGGGUGGCCAACACAUUUGAUUGCUUUAUCCUCUGUAAUACGAUAGCUUAUUCAUUCACUCCUUGUGAAUAGCACUUGUUGUAAACGUGAAGCCAAUCUCACUCAAGUCUCCGGCCAACCAUAAAGGUCGAAGUAUUUAACUCGAUUCAUUCAACAGUAAUGGUAAAACUUUGGUAAAAACAAAUACAGAAUUUUAAUUGGACGGGAUACGAUCUGAUUUGUGAAAUAAAUAGCACAGUAAUUCUGCCAGGAAAAUGGAAGAAAAUUAAAAUGUUGAUUUCGCAAGCGAAGCCUUUUUCUUGUUCUUCCUCCCAGAAGCAGCGGUAGAAACGUCGAGAAAGAGAAAAAUAGGGCUAUAUUCACGAAUAAAAAUUCAGUAAGAGGAGAAGAAAUGAGACAACAUGAAGAAAAUAUUUAAGUAUUGAGGAGUAUGACAUAUCUAACAAGGGAACAUACCGAGGUGUCCAACGAGUUAAGGGUCGACACCUAUACCAAAAUGAC